CUUCCUGCAAAACUAGCUAUGUAAAAAAAAAAAAAAAAAAAAAAAAAAAAA
RNAcentral lists this non-coding RNA (51 nucleotides) under Lankesteria abbotti. Lineage: Eukaryota; Apicomplexa; Conoidasida; Eugregarinorida; Lecudinidae. The record is from RNAcentral.